This 356-nucleotide ribosomal RNA is filed under the name uncultured bacterium. Its description in RNAcentral is "bacterial SSU rRNA". It matches the Rfam family "Bacterial small subunit ribosomal RNA", at positions 8 to 353 of the family's 1533-position model. The record is from RNAcentral.
AGAGUUUGAUCAUGGCUCAGGAUGAACGCUAGCUACAGGCUUAACACAUGCAAGUCGAGGGGAAACGACAUCGAAAGCUUGCUUUUGAUGGGCGUCGACCGGCGCACGGGUGAGUAACGCGUAUCCAACCUGCCCACCACUUGGGGAUAACCUUGCGAAAGUAAGACUAAUACCCAAUGAUAUCUCUAGAAGACAUCUGAAAGAGNUUAAAGAUUCAUCGGUGAUGGAUGGGGAUGCGUCUGAUUAGCUUGUUGGCGGGGUAGCGGCCCACCAAGGCAACGAUCAGUAGGGGUUCUGAGAGGAAGGUCCCCCACAUUGGAACUGAGACACGGUCCAAACUCCUACGGGAGGCAGCA